Molecule: long non-coding RNA, 470 nt
Filed under: Elaeis guineensis (African oil palm)
Lineage: Eukaryota; Viridiplantae; Streptophyta; Magnoliopsida; Arecales; Arecaceae
Description: long non-coding RNA (EGUI_LNC005092)
Source: RNAcentral
CAUCGGUUGCUCCAUGGAGGAGCAUUACCGUCUUAAAACUUUUCAAAUGAUCUACAGGAUCGGUAGUCCUGUCAUAAUUCUCUAGCUACGGUAUCUUGAAGUGCUAAGAAGCAGUUUUUACAUAAUUCAAGCAUUGAAUGGUAGAUCGGUGUUGAAUUCGUCAUUUUGUGCUGGAGCCUGGUUGUGCAGUGCCUCGAUUCAUCAAUUCAUUUCACGAAAUCUGCGAUCGAUCUCGACAUCUCAAAUAGUAUUUGCCUCCAAACAUUGCGAAUGAGAACGGUCCAUGGUGGAACCAUGUCCAGAGCGAGGACUCAGGGACCGCUGACCCCUCCGUUCUGGGCUUCUGGGAUCCACUAUGAGAAAUUAUCAGGGAUGGAUCAAUCGGAAAGUGAGGAUCGGUAGGGUCCAAGGUUGUGAAGAUUUUCGACUUGCUUAUGUCUUCAGCUAGGAUGAUAAAUAACUCUUAUAUA